UCGGAUAUGGUGUAACGGCUAACAUUGCCGCCUCUCACGUAGUGACGCGGCAGCUCGGGGUUCGAUUCCCCGUACUUAUCCGAA
Hymenopellis radicata is the source of this 84-nucleotide non-coding RNA. Lineage: Eukaryota; Fungi; Basidiomycota; Agaricomycetes; Agaricales; Physalacriaceae. The record is from the annotation of a GenBank genome assembly.